Molecule: long non-coding RNA, 3184 nt
Organism: Ruditapes philippinarum (Manila clam)
Lineage: Eukaryota; Metazoa; Mollusca; Bivalvia; Venerida; Veneridae
Exons: 4
Source: RefSeq, a predicted model, not a curated record
CACGUCCGUCCAUCCGUCUCCAUUAUUGUGUCUGCUUUAUAAAUCCUAUACCAACUGAAGGAUUUUCUUCAAACUUGGCUCAAAUGUUCACCUCAACAAGGGAAUGUGCAGAACCCAUGUUGCCCAUGUGUCAGCUAAAAGUCAAGGUCACAAUUGAAGGUCAGAUAUCAAACAAUCAAAUAUUAGACAGUAUGUCGUGUCAGCUCUGUAAGUCCUACACUAAUUGAAAGAUUUUCUUCAAACUUGGCUCAAAUGUUCAACUCAACAAGGGGAUGUGCAGAACCCAUGUUGCCGAUGUGUCAGCUCAAGGUAAUGGCCACAAUUGAAGGUCAAAUAUCAAAUAAUCAAAUAUUAGAGAGAAUGUCAUGUCCGCCCUGUAAGUCCCACACUUAUUGAAAGAUUUUCUUCACUCUUGGCUCAAAUUUUCACCUCAACAUAAUUAUGUUCAGAACCCAUGUUGCCCUUUUGCCGGCUGAAGGUAAAAGUCACAAUUGAAAGUCAAAAAUUGACUUGGCACUCUUAGAUUGAUAAAUAUAAAUAUGGGACAUAAGACUUUACCAAUUUUCACAACUAAGGAAAAAAAAGUCGAGCGAGCUGGCAUUUCUGUUUAAAUUCUUUUUAGCUCACCUGUUACAAAGUGACAGGGUGAGCUUUUGUGAUCGCUUUUCGUCCGUCGUCCGUCCGGCAUCUGUCCGUUAACUUUUACUUUAAAUAAUUGUUCAAAGAAUUUUAUUCCAUGCAGAACUCUGGUUGCCAUGAACAGAAAGAAGAAACUUUUAAAUAUCUUCUUUUAAAAAACACUAAGGCCUAGAGCUAAGAUAUUUAGCAUGAAACAUCUUCUAGUGUCUAACAAGUUUGUUCAAAUAAAAGCCCUGGGGUCAAAAUUGGCCCCACCCCAGGGGGUCAUUGAUUUUUCCUAUAAUGCAUGUAGUAAAAACAUAAAAAUCUUCUUUUAAAGAAUCCAAAGAGCUAUAGCUAAGAUAUUUAGCAUGAAAAAUCUUCUAAUGAGUGUCUUCCAAGUUUAUUAAAAUAAAAGCCCUGGGGUCAAAUUUGGCCCCGCCCCAGGGGUCAUUUAUUUUCCCUAUAUGCAAAUAGAAAAAACUUUAAAAUCUUCUUUUGAAGAACUCAAAAAGCUAGAGCUAAGAUAUGUAGCAUGAAACAUGUUCUAAUGGGUGUCUACUAAGUUUGUUCAAAUAAAAGCCCAGAGGUCAAAAUUGGCCCUGCCCCAGGGGUCAUUGAUUUUCCUUAUAUGUGAAAAGCAAAAACUUAAAAAAUCAUUUUUGAAAAAAAACAAAUAGUUAGAGUUUAGAUAUUAAGCAUGAAACAUCUUCUAGUGAGUGUCUACAAAGUUUGUUCAAAUAAAAGCCCUGGGGUCAAAAUUGGCCCUGCCCCAGGGGGUCAUUGAUUUUCCUUAUAUGUGUAUAGUAAAAACUUAAAAAUUUUCUUUGAAAAAACCCAAAUAGUUAGAGUUUAGAUAUUAAGCAUGAAAUAUCUUCUUGUAAGUGUUCAAAUAAAAGCCCUGGGGUCAAAACUGGCCACGCCCCAGGGGUGUCAUUGUUUUUAACUAUAUGUGUAAAAAAAAAUCUUCUUUUAAAAAACCCAGUGAAUUAAAGCUUAGAUGUUUAGCAUGAAACAUCUUCUUAUGGGUGUCCAACAAGUUUGUUCAAAUAAAAGCCCUUGGGUUACAAUUGGCCCUGCUGGGGGGGGGGGAAGAAUCAUUGUUUUUCAUUAUAUGUGUGUAGUAAAAACUUAACAUCAUGAAACAUCUUCUGAUGGGUGUCUUCCAAGUUUGUUCAAAUAAAAGCCCUGGGGUUCAAACUUGCCCCGCUCCGGGGGCUUAUAUACAGGUGAGCGACCUCAGGGCCAUCAUGGCCCUCUUGGUUUACUCUGUUUAACGUUUUUGUUUUGCUGUUUAUUACGCAUACUAUUUUUAACAAAAACAAUUUAGAAGUUUGCACUUUAUAAAAAUAAUAGCACCAAUAUAUAAGUCCAGUUAAUUUUGUUAUUCUAUGAGCACCAAUAACAAAUUAACUUUUUUUUGUUCAAAUUCAAGUCCAUUAAUUUUGCUAACAAAAUAAUUCUUUAAACAACUUUAGUUUGGUCUCAAAUGUAUUUUUUGUUGACAGUAUAAUGUUUCCACUUGCUUUACAUGUGCUGGAAAUUUCACUAGCAUGGGAGUAGCCAGAUAAGAUGUACUAUGCGGAGCUUGACAUCAUUUAGCCUUUUGAAUAAUGUUGUAAAUCCAUAUACACUGCUAUAAUAAAUUAAAGAUAAUUGAAAUGAGAAAAACAUUAAAAAUAUGGUAUGAAAUGCAAGAUUACAUGUGUUAAAGUCAUUUUUUUGCACUUUUUCUUAUACAGUAUCUGUGGCAUAAUUGUCUUAUGGACACAUUUUUUACACUUUUUCUUAUACAGUCUCUGUGGCAUCAUUGUCUUAUGGACACAUUUUUUACACUUUUUCUUAUACAGUUUCUGUGGCAUCAUUUUCUUAUGGACACAUUUUUACACUUUUUCAUCAUUGUCUUAUGGACACAUUUUUUACACUUUUUCUUAUACAGUUUCUGUGGCAUCAUUGUCUUAUGGACACAUUUUUUUGGUUUUGUUUGCUAUGUUGCCAGUCAUACCAAUACUAUUAAGAUUAUAAUUAGAGAGAUUUUCAAGUUUUUCCUGCACAGGAAGACACCAUGUGCCCUUUCAAGCAUUAUUUCAAGCACAAGGGGGUACCUGACUGGAACAACUGACUUUCCUUUAGCAAAUUUGUAGGAUGAGAAAUUCAAGUUCUUUAUUUAGUUAACUUAUUCAUCGACUUGAUUUAAAGAAUAAUGUAAUUUAUAUUUUCCGGGACUGAUGGAGUGCACAAAGAAGAAAACUAGAGAUCAAUUGCAGCUGUUUGUAAUUUUGGAGUUGUUUGCAUUUCAUCAAAUGACAAUUCUUGACCUUCAAACAGCUCAGAUGAUACUGUAGAAUGCUCCAUGGAGUACUGUUUACCGAUUACCCUUUACCAGAAGAAGAUGUCAAUCAUGUCAACCUUGGACAGACAGCUCACUAAAUACUGUAGAGUGAUUAUAGAUGGACACUAUUUAGUUGAACAAAAAAAAAGACAUGGAGUGUAGGAAGAACUGUGGACAGUAUAGCAUCAAGACUGGGUAUUCAAAAUAACAACAAUGUACAAACAGCAAAGGUAU